GCAGCAGUAGGGAUCUUCCGCAAUGGGCGAAAGCCUGACGGAGCAACGCCGCGUGAGUGAUGAAGGGUUUCGGCUCGUAAAACUCUGUUAUUAGGGAAGAACAAAUGUGUAAGUAACUGUGCACAUCUUGACGGUACCUAAUCAGAAAGCCACGGCUAACUACGUGCCAGCAGCCGCGGUAAUACGUAGGUGGCAAGCGUUAUCCGGAAUUAUUGGGCGUAAAGCGCGCGUAGGCGGUUUCUUAAGUCUGAUGUGAAAGCCCACGGCUCAACCGUGGAGGGUCAUUGGAAACUGGGAAACUUGAGUGCAGAAGAGGAAAGUGGAAUUCCAUGUGUAGCGGUGAAAUGCGCAGAGAUAUGGAGGAACACCAGUGGCGAAGGCGACUUUCUGGUCUGUAACUGACGCUGAUGUGCGAAAGCGUGGGGAUCAAACAGGAUUAGAUACCCUGGUAGUCCACGCCGUAAACGAUGAGUGCUAAGUGUUAGGGGGUUUCCGCCCCUUAGUGCUGCAGCUAACGCAUUAAGCACUCCGCCUGGGGAGUACGACCGCAAGGUUGAAACUCAAAGGAAUUGACGGGCCUAUU
RNAcentral lists this ribosomal RNA (583 nucleotides) under Staphylococcus sp. RNAcentral describes it as "bacterial SSU rRNA". It matches the Rfam family "Bacterial small subunit ribosomal RNA", at positions 348 to 923 of the family's 1533-position model. Lineage: Bacteria; Bacillati; Bacillota; Bacilli; Caryophanales; Staphylococcaceae. The record is from RNAcentral.